RNAcentral lists this long non-coding RNA (324 nucleotides) under Elaeis guineensis (African oil palm). RNAcentral describes it as "long non-coding RNA (EGUI_LNC000796)". The record is from RNAcentral. Lineage: Eukaryota; Viridiplantae; Streptophyta; Magnoliopsida; Arecales; Arecaceae.
AUAUGUGUAGCAAUUGAUCUUGUGCAAAGAUACCGUAUCAUCCGAAAAUCUUUUGAUAACAUCGUCAGGAAGCGUCUUGGCAUUCCAUGAAGUUACACAGAUAGAGAUUAUAUCUUUUCAUGGGUAAUAUAUGCACUUGAUCUAUAUAUGUCUUAGCUCCGUUCAUGGUAUUUUUAAGCACUAAUUGCUCCAUGAUCUAAGCACAAGCGUUGCACUCAGAUUGGUCAUGGUGCAAAGAAUCAAAAAGGAUGGAGACAAAGCAUGCAUUUGAGUACAUAUCACACCAAGAGUUGCCUCAUUCACUGAUGAUAUCAGCUGGCCCAU